Molecule: long non-coding RNA, 214 nt
Filed under: Phoenix dactylifera (date palm)
Lineage: Eukaryota; Viridiplantae; Streptophyta; Magnoliopsida; Arecales; Arecaceae
Description: long non-coding RNA (PDAC_LNC005949)
Source: RNAcentral
UUGUGUGUGACCCCUUGGGUUCCAUACUUAGCCAGCAAUAGGUGUGAGUGCGAGUUGACCCAACUUGAUUAGAACUCUUCUAAUUGAUUUAAGUCCAAACUGCGCGAACCCGAACUUAACAAUUAGAAUCCUUUCUAAUUGGUGAUCGAAUUAAACUCUUUAAUUCGAUCAAACCUAUAAGACAAGAUUGACGUCUAGCAACGUGUCAUGUCUA